Myotis davidii is the source of this 104-nucleotide long non-coding RNA. RefSeq lists it as uncharacterized. Lineage: Eukaryota; Metazoa; Chordata; Mammalia; Chiroptera; Vespertilionidae. The record is from RefSeq and is a predicted model, not a curated record. The transcript is spliced from 3 exons.
UGUCUCUUAAACCAGUGCUCCUUCCGCUAUCUCACAGUGCUUUUAAAAGCAACAUGGAGAGAGAGAAAGAGAGAAAGAGAGAAAGAGAGAAAGAGAGAAAGAAA